Molecule: ribosomal RNA, 490 nt
Filed under: uncultured bacterium
Lineage: Bacteria
Description: partial 16S ribosomal RNA
Rfam family: Bacterial small subunit ribosomal RNA
Source: RNAcentral
AUUGAACGCUGGCGGCAGGCCUAACACAUGCAAGUCGAACGGUAACAGGAAGCAGCUUGCUGCUUUGCUGACGAGUGGCGGACGGGUGAGUAAUGUCUGGGAAACUGCCCGAUGGAGGGGGAUAACUACUGGAAACGGUAGCUAAUACCGCAUAACGUCGCAAGACCAAAGAGGGGGACCUUAGGGCCUCUUGCCAUCGGAUGUGCCCAGAUGGGAUUAGCUAGUAGGUGGGGUAACGGCUCACCUAGGCGACGAUCCCUAGCUGGUCUGAGAGGAUGACCAGCCACACUGGAACUGAGACACGGUCCAGACACCUACGGGAGGCAGCAGUGGAGAAUAUUGCACAAAGGGCGCAAGCCUGAUGCAGCCAUGCCGCGUGUAUGAAGAAGGCCUUCGGGUUGUAAAGUACUUUCAGCGGGGAGGAAGGGAGUAAAGUUAAUACCUUUGCUCAUUGACGUUACCCGCAGAAGAAGCACCGGCUAACUCCGUG